This 854-nucleotide ribosomal RNA is filed under the name Juxtiphoma eupyrena. Its description in RNAcentral is "partial large subunit ribosomal RNA". It matches the Rfam family "Eukaryotic large subunit ribosomal RNA", at positions 68 to 940 of the family's 3401-position model. Lineage: Eukaryota; Fungi; Ascomycota; Dothideomycetes; Pleosporales; Didymellaceae. The record is from RNAcentral.
ACAGGGAUUGCCCUAGUAACGGCGAGUGAAGCGGCAACAGCUCAAAUUUGAAAUCUGGCGUCUUUGGCGUCCGAGUUGUAAUUUGCAGAGGGCGCUUUGGCAUUGGCAGCGGUCCAAGUUCCUUGGAACAGGACGUCACAGAGGGUGAGAAUCCCGUACGUGGUCGCUAGCCUUUACCGUGUAAAGCCCUUUCGACGAGUCGAGUUGUUUGGGAAUGCAGCUCUAAAUGGGAGGUAAAUUUCUUCUAAAGCUAAAUACUGGCCAGAGACCGAUAGCGCACAAGUAGAGUGAUCGAAAGAUGAAAAGCACUUUGGAAAGAGAGUUAAAAAGCACGUGAAAUUGUUGAAAGGGAAGCGCUUGCAGCCAGACUUGCCUGUAGUUGCUCAUCCGGGUUUUUACCCGGUGCACUCUUCUAUAGGCAGGCCAGCAUCAGUUUGGGCGGUUGGAUAAAGGUCUCUGUCAUGUACCUCUCUUCGGGGAGAACUUAUAGGGGAGACGACAUGCAACCAGCCUGGACUGAGGUCCGCGCAUCUGCUAGGAUGCUGGCGUAAUGGCUGUAAGCGGCCCGUCUUGAAACACGGACCAAGGAGUCUAACAUCUAUGCGAGUGUUUGGGUGUCAAGCCCGAGCGCGUAAUGAAAGUGAACGGAGGUGGGAACCCCUCGGGGUGCACCAUCGACCGAUCCUGAUGUCUUCGGAUGGAUUUGAGUAAGAGCAUAGCUGUUGGGACCCGAAAGAUGGUGAACUAUGCUUGAAUAGGGUGAAGCCAGAGGAAACUCUGGUGGAGGCUCGCAGCGGUUCUGACGUGCAAAUCGAUCGUCAAAUUUGGGCAUAGGGGCGAAAGACUAAUCGAAC